RNAcentral lists this ribosomal RNA (449 nucleotides) under uncultured bacterium. RNAcentral describes it as "partial 16S ribosomal RNA". It matches the Rfam family "Bacterial small subunit ribosomal RNA", at positions 29 to 523 of the family's 1533-position model. The record is from RNAcentral.
AGCGAACGCUGGCGGCAGGCCUAACACAUGCAAGUCGAACGGACCCUUCGGGGGUAGUGGCGGACGGGUGAGUAACACGUGGGAACGUGCCUUUAGGUUCGGAAUAGCUCCUGGAAACGGGUGGUAAUGCCGAAUGUGCCCUUCGGGGGAAAGAUUUAUCGCCUUUAGAGCGGCCCGCGUCUGAUUAGCUAGUUGGUGAGGUAACGGCUCACCAAGGCCACGAUCAGUAGCUGGUCUGAGAGGAUGACCAGCCACACUGGGACUGAGACACGGCCCAGACUCCUACGGGAGGCAGCAGUGGGGAAUCUUGCGCAAUGGGCGAAAGCCUGACGCAGCCAUGCCGCGUGAAUGAUGAAGGUCUUAGGAUUGUAAAAUUCUUUCACCGGGGACGAUAAUGACGGUACCCGGAGAAGAAGCCCCGGCUAACUUCGUGCCAGCAGCCGCCGUAA